GCCGCCUUCAGGACAACACCAUAUGCUUGUGGACAAUGAAUAACAGGAAAGCUGAUCAGUGCUUCCAAUCCUGCUUCUCUCAGAAUUCUCUUCAACAUUGCCAGCACUGGGAAUGCUGCAGAUGCAUCAGCUGGGCUGCCUGGCCUCUUCCAAUAACUCUCCAUACGGCUACCUUUAGCAAAUAAGUUAGAACCAUUCUUUUGGUCAUUUUGUACACCUACACUCCCAUUAGCAUCCUUGUUUUCACCUGAAUCAGAAGUCCUCAAUGAAGCUUCUGUAGUUUGCCUACAAUCGAG
Molecule: unclassified non-coding RNA, 296 nt
Filed under: Hevea brasiliensis (rubber tree)
Lineage: Eukaryota; Viridiplantae; Streptophyta; Magnoliopsida; Malpighiales; Euphorbiaceae
Source: RNAcentral